ACCGCCGGAAAAACAGUUGUCGCCACUGACAGGUACGGUCCCACAUCUGCCAAGAGUCACACCCCGAGUGGCUGCAUGUUGCCAUGGUGGAGACGCAUCCAACCGUGAAAACCUUCAACGCGACGCCCUCCGGUAGGUCCGCCAAAAGAUACACUACGGCUGGACUCUUCCGUCUUCGUGGAGACAUUAUCCUCGCAACUAGUUUGUAGCUGAAUUGCGUUUCCGGCGUCGAUCCCUGUCUCGAGUUCAAGCCCCACUUGCAGUGUCUCUUCCCUUCGACACCAGCGGAACAACGGCAGUUGAGUUCGGGGAAGAAAACACAAGUUGGAACUUGGACAGAAUUUUCAAACUGUUGCAAGAUAUCGACGUCAAGACAUGAGAAAGCCGAAAUUACUAGAGACACGGUGUUCACCGUGCUACAUUGCAGAUCUGUUCCACGAUACGGAAACUAACCAAGUCCAAGAAAAUCUAGAUGAGAUAAAAGAAAUCGGUUUUGGUUUUUCUUAAGCUAGUACCAAAGUGGAAUGUUAAACAAGGGAUAAUAGUGAUGUUGGCCAAGGCUUACGACACUGAAACAAGCACCUUGAAAGUAGCUGAUAGAGUCAUCCGCAUUGGGCCUGAGCUGUUCGAACGUCUGUUCCAAAUUCUGCCCGGUGUUGAUGACUUCCCACCGUUCGAUGCUGGUAAUGCUGACCAUGUGUCGAUAAGAAGAAGAUUUCACCGGUUAAAUACUAUACAGCCGAGGGGCUUUGUUAACCAGUGCGCUAUGGAUACUGAAGAUGACAGGAUGGAGUUUAGGAGGCAUUUCAUCCUGCUCGUGCUGAAGAUGUUUCUGUGUCCGACUGUGCAACACGUCAUCUCACCGUGGCACAUCGAUACAAUACUUGAUGUAUCUGA
Arachis stenosperma is the source of this 897-nucleotide long non-coding RNA. RefSeq lists it as uncharacterized. NCBI's taxonomy places the organism in Eukaryota, Viridiplantae, Streptophyta, Magnoliopsida, Fabales, Fabaceae. The record is from RefSeq and is a predicted model, not a curated record. The transcript has 4 exons.